AGCAGAGUCUCUCCCAUGAGUCAGGGCUCCUGAAGGCAAUUAGUGUCCAGGUGAUAGGCCUGCUAGGGACAGUGGGAUCCGGAGGGCUGGGCCACUAGUGUCAGGAUGCCGGGACCUGAAGGGUUCCUUAUUAAGUAAUAGGGAGUGAGGAAGGGCCUAACCUCCCUGGUUGUUUCUACUAAAGACAGUGAUCUUGUUUUAUGUAUAUCUUUGUUUUUGAGAUACCCGAAAAAAAGGUAUUUGUUGUUUUUGCACAAGCCUGGAGUUGGUCGUUUUUGGAUUUUUGUAGCAGAGCACAUUCUAGCAAGUCUUCUGUUACAAAUGGCACCUGAUCAUGGGGCCCUUCUGCUAGUUGUGGCACACGUGGCAGAGGACCAACAGCUGCAAGGUAGCGUCACACGUACCAGUGAACUUCAGACCAAGCUGAACUUGUGGGCAUCAGUACCAGACCAAGGGUGCUGGCGUCAGCAGCAGAUAAGGUGGCGAAGGGCCGGCACCACUCUUUCACUGCCAUAGCGGGGACCAGCGCGACAAGCAGCACCCCUGGACCAAUUCCUCCGCCGCCGGCAAUUGCGGACCCGCCUCGUCCUGACCAACUCCGGCGAUUGGUCCUUAUACUGAGGGCGGUAGUCCAACAAAUGUUUGUUUAUAUUUUACGUUGCUUAUAAAAAAAAAAUGUUUUUUGUUUUUUUCCUUCCAGUUUUUUUAUUAAAGUUUUUAUAUAAUUUACAGUUA
Long non-coding RNA from Pseudophryne corroboree (corroboree frog), 735 nucleotides. RefSeq lists it as uncharacterized. The record is from RefSeq and is a predicted model, not a curated record. Lineage: Eukaryota; Metazoa; Chordata; Amphibia; Anura; Myobatrachidae. The transcript is spliced from 4 exons.